AUGAUCUACUUUAUAUGGUUCUGUCUUAGUCCUGAAGUGAGCACUUUGUUAUUGGCAGAUUUAGAAAAGCAUGCACAUGUUUUGAGUUACUGUAUAAAAAUCCAGUCUUGGGAGGAAUAUGUUCUACUUUUGUCACCUUGCUACAUAAUUACAGUAUACAGUAUACUAAUUACUGUGAAUGUCAGUACUAUACAGUGGACAUUGUUAUCAACACUGAAGAGGAUGGUUAUACUAGAUCUUAUAGUGUCUCACAAAUGUCUUUAGACUCCUGCACCAUUUUCAUAUUUUGAUGCUUUAAAACUUGCAGUCAUGAAACUUUGAAAUCACAAUUGAUAUUUGAAAUGUGCACAUAUGUGUAUAUCUACUCCACACAUUCAAAGCAAAAAAAAAACAAACAAAGAGAAAAUAUGAAAAAAUAUAUAAAAAGUCAGGAAUGCUUAUGUAGCAGCAAGGCUUAUUAAUAAUACAGGAAUUAAGUUUUCUGCUCACUUGCCGGUCCCUCUCUCCCUCAUCUCAGUGGUGCUGGACACAGAGAGGCCAUUCCAUUUAGUUCAGAUUUAAGGUGUUUUCCUAUCUGAUAGAGUUUCCUGAUAAGGAACAAGGCUGAGAUUCUCCAGCCACCCUAAUGAAUGGUUAUCUCUGGCUCCUUACUGUCUGGGAGAUUCCAAGGGAGAGUCUUAUCCCAGGUUGUUUAUAAUCCUAAUGUCAGAGAGCAUUGUUACUAAUCCUCCACCUCAAUCAGCCAAACAGGAACUAGUAGGGCAGGGUAACCCCACGUGGGUUAAACCAAUGAACAACCCUAGUUCCUCCGGAUAAAAGAGGCAGCACAGGGCCCAGAAGUUGCCCCUCCAGGACAUUCUUAGACUCAUCUCGGACAAUCACGUGACGGCCAGUGUGUCUGAGUGCCAGGACUUUACUUUGUUCUAAGAGUCGAGAACAGAGGUCCCUUGCGCAUAUCCAAAGGAUCUGCCUGAGGUUAGCCCAGCAGCAAGAAUUUUGAACUGCUGGUACCCCACUGCAAAUGCUUGCCUGAUCAACGAGUGAACUACGGUCAGAACUGUCAACAGCUGAAUCUUAGUAUUCAGAACUAGUGCUACAUCAGGAAUAAACCGGUCUUCUUCCCAUCUAAAGAGUGUGACUUGCUUGGACCAGCAGUCAUUUUUCAUGUGCACAAACUCUGCUAGUUCAGCUGGGACUAACUAGACGUUCUUCAGAGAGCAACUGGCAGCAUGCAGCAGCAGGAAUUUCUCCCUCCUUCUCCCCCACCUCACACUGAACAGGACUGCCUGGCACUGGGCCAGAGGAUGCCGAUUUGACACAGCAACAGCCUGCUCAUUUAUGAAAUGGUAUCAAUUAAAUGAAUGGUAUACUGAAUGUAUGUCCCUCUUGGUUUGUAACUCUUCGUUAUUGAAUAUAUACCUUUUGUAUUCUGCUAACCCUCACUAUAA
Molecule: long non-coding RNA, 1448 nt
Filed under: Lepisosteus oculatus (spotted gar)
Lineage: Eukaryota; Metazoa; Chordata; Actinopteri; Semionotiformes; Lepisosteidae
Description: lncRNA (ENSLOCG00000022631.1)
Source: RNAcentral